RNAcentral lists this long non-coding RNA (722 nucleotides) under Homo sapiens (human). RNAcentral's name for it is "HSALNT0281549". The record is from RNAcentral. Lineage: Eukaryota; Metazoa; Chordata; Mammalia; Primates; Hominidae.
GGCAAGAGAAUAAUGCAGUGAGUUGUUAAUGAGAAGACCUGCUCAUCUUGCUUCUGGAUCCCAAGUCCCCAGAGGACCCUGGCUCAACUCCAGCUUAGUGUUGGAACUCUAGCAGUUGGAUGCCUUGAUCUAGAGGGAAACCGGUGCUUUUCCCCAUUUAUCAUCCUCUUACAGAAGAAUUUCACUUGCAGCAACUUUGAACUGCCUCUGAACUCACUCAUGCUGCAGAAGAAUCCAUGCCUGUUUGUUGAUAUUUUGUUUUUCAUGCCUGAAGAGCACAACUGGAACAAACAAGAAGUUGGAGAGUAAGAUGCUUGCCAUAACAAAUCUGUCUGGCCUACAGUGCAUGCAAAUAUACUUGUAAGAAAAUUACCACCCCCAACUUCGCUCAAUGGGUGUCUUUGUUAUUGUACAAUUGUUAAAUGCAUUUCACAAUGAAGUUAUGUUAGAGUGUCAGGCCUCAAAUGGAGAUAAAGCAAUUCCUAAACAUAGUAGGUGGGUGUGAGUAGACAGCUAUUUCUUGUUCGAAUCACUACCACCAGCAUUAUCACUGAGAAGAAGAAUCAACAGGUCUCUUAGAGUGGAAACUGGGACCAGCCCCUCUCCUUCCUCCUGCCUGCACUCUCUGCCCAGGAGGUAGCAAGUUUGAAUCUAUUCUAAUGGCAUCCUUGAAAGGAUAUAAGCUUGUUUGGGGGAGCAAGGUCAGUCACCAUAACUCCAAC